Molecule: ribosomal RNA, 696 nt
Filed under: Leotiomycetes sp. A899
Lineage: Eukaryota; Fungi; Ascomycota; Leotiomycetes
Description: SSU rRNA
Rfam family: Eukaryotic small subunit ribosomal RNA
Source: RNAcentral
GUGGUAAUUCUAGAGCUAAUACAUGCUAAAAACCUCGACUUCGGAAGGGGUGUAUUUAUUAGAUAAAAAACCAAUGCCCUUCGGGGCUCCUUGGUGAUUCAUAAUAACUUAACGAAUCGCAUGGCCUUGCGCCGGCGAUGGUUCAUUCAAAUUUCUGCCCUAUCAACUUUCGAUGGUAGGAUAGUGGCCUACCAUGGUUUCAACGGGUAACGGGGAAUUAGGGUUCUAUUCCGGAGAGGGAGCCUGAGAAACGGCUACCACAUCCAAGGAAGGCAGCAGGCGCGCAAAUUACCCAAUCCCGACACGGGGAGGUAGUGACAAUAAAUACUGAUACAGGGCUCUUUUGGGUCUUGUAAUUGGAAUGAGUACAAUUUAAAUCCCUUAACGAGGAACAAUUGGAGGGCAAGUCUGGUGCCAGCAGCCGCGGUAAUUCCAGCUCCAAUAGCGUAUAUUAAAGUUGUUGCAGUUAAAAAGCUCGUAGUUGAACCUUGGGCCUGGCUGGCCGGUCCGCCUCACCGCGUGCACUGGUCCGGCCGGGCCUUUCCUUCUGGGGAGCCGCAUGCCCUUCACUGGGUGUGUCGGGGAACCAGGACUUUUACUUUGAAAAAAUUAGAGUGUUCAAAGCAGGCCUAUGCUCGAAUACAUUAGCAUGGAAUAAUAGAAUAGGACGUGUGGUUCUAUUUUGUUGGUUUCUAG